Chelonia mydas (Green sea turtle) is the source of this 414-nucleotide long non-coding RNA. RefSeq lists it as uncharacterized. The transcript is spliced from 3 exons. The record is from RefSeq and is a predicted model, not a curated record. Lineage: Eukaryota; Metazoa; Chordata; Testudines; Cheloniidae.
CCAGUGGUUAGGUUAUUGGCCUAGGAUUUGGGAGACUGGGGUUUAAUUCUCUGUUCUGCUACAGAUUUUCUGGUGUGAUCUUAGAGAAACUACAAAGCCUAUUAAGAUGCAUUGUGAAUAAUUGAGUCUGACAGUUCACGGCUUUAACAAGCUCACCACUAAGGGAAAAAAGUCUAGAAGCGAGUGGAAGGACAGACCAUGGAUCAUAGUUCAUCCUCUCAUUUGAAAGACACACUGCAAAAACAAAGCCUGCAGGUGUGCAGAGCACCUUUCCUUGUGUAAGGAUGUGGAUGUGGCUGUAGAGACCAAUUGCCGGUCUCCAUUUUGGAAGGCAGGGCUCCAGCCUGCAGGGGGAAGAACAGACAGCAGCAGGCUGCAGCUUACCGCAGGCUCUGGCUUCUGCGGUUUUUGUAA